UGAAAGGCGAAACGUAAUGUGAAUCGCAACUAACAGUGAAUCAUUGAAUCUUUGAACGCAGGCCGCACCCAGCAAUAUCACUAUGUGUUAUUACUGGGUAUCUACGUAUGAGUGUCAGCCCAAUAUCUUUUCAGUUCAAGAUCAAGAUUGAGUAAUCAAUUGGAUAUCUUGAGCUUUUAAUUAAAAUUUUUCUCCCAUUCAUUCAUUUUUAGUUUUUGUAGAGGUGUCUCGGCACCUUUGCAAUUUCUAAAGAGGGGUGUUUGGGAGUUUUUUUUUAACCAAAUUUUUUUGUCUGGCCUCAUAUGUGGAAGAUUACCCGCUGGAUUUAA
This 329-nucleotide unclassified non-coding RNA is filed under the name uncultured fungus. Its description in RNAcentral is "sequence contains ITS1". The stretch from base 1 to 117 matches the Rfam family "5.8S ribosomal RNA", at positions 49 to 154 of the family's 154-position model. The record is from RNAcentral. Lineage: Eukaryota; Fungi.